GAGCACGCGAACUUAACCACUCGGCCACGGGGCCAGCCCCUGAUUCCAGAUCUUAUGCCUCCCUAGUGCUUCAUGCUUCCACUUAGAGCAAAGAGCUCCAAAAAAUAUUGUCAGGGAAAAGUGCGUGUCAAUGUGCCUGGUUUCAGGACAAUCUCCUGCCAUCUCAAUUUACUCCUGAGUACGAGGAUUCUAAUGAAGUCACCGUGGGUGAUGAGGCUCAGCGCCGUGGUCCUCUCCUGCAGGGACCGCUUCUGCUGCCUGGUUGUUAGCUGUGCGACUGCUGUCUUUGUCUUUGGGAUCUGCAGGGAAAGGCGCUCCAAGAAGGAGGCUCUGAUUAUUAUGAAAUGCUGAUGGCACUGCUAUUAGAAGUUGGGGGCAAGGAGACUGAAUUGGAAGAGAAUUAGAAAAGAUGUUGAGCUGCGCUUGAGAUGCCACUUGAGCUACUCUCAAGGUGCUGGCGAGCAUCACGAGGCCUUUCAUUGGGAUCGUGGAGGCUGAUCAGAGUUUGGACCUGAGGAUGGGGAGCAACAGCCCAAGAGAACACAGACUGUGAGGAUUGUCUCCUGGCUGAGAAAGUUGAGGGAGUGUGUGCAAGGAACAGUGAAUUGGCUUGUCUGGC
Molecule: long non-coding RNA, 619 nt
Filed under: Equus asinus (donkey)
Lineage: Eukaryota; Metazoa; Chordata; Mammalia; Perissodactyla; Equidae
Description: lncRNA (ENSEASG00005033877.1)
Source: RNAcentral